AGAAUCAACGCGGGCGGCGUGCCUAACACAUGCAAGUCGAUCGAGAAAGUGGAGCAAUCCAUGAGUACAGUGGCGCACGGGUGAGUAACACGUGACUAACCUACCCUUGAGUGGGGAAUAAACCUGGAGAAAUCUAGGCUAAUACCGCAUAACACCUACGGGUCAAAGGAGCAAUUCGCUUAAGGAGGGGGUCGCGGCAGAUUAGCUAGUUGGCGGGGUAAUGGCCCACCAAGGCAGUGAUCUGUA
Molecule: ribosomal RNA, 246 nt
Filed under: uncultured bacterium
Lineage: Bacteria
Description: partial small subunit ribosomal RNA
Rfam family: Bacterial small subunit ribosomal RNA
Source: RNAcentral